Molecule: ribosomal RNA, 513 nt
Filed under: Clonostachys rosea
Lineage: Eukaryota; Fungi; Ascomycota; Sordariomycetes; Hypocreales; Bionectriaceae
Description: eukaryotic LSU rRNA
Rfam family: 5.8S ribosomal RNA (bases 167-320)
Source: RNAcentral
GGAUCAUUACCGAGUUUACAACUCCCAAACCCAUGUGAACAUACCUACUGUUGCUUCGGCGGGAUUGCCCCGGGCGCCUCGUGUGCCCCGGAUCAGGCGCCCGCCUAGGAAACUUAAUUCUUGUUUUAUUUUGGAAUCUUCUGAGUAGUUUUUACAAAUAAAUAAAAACUUUCAACAACGGAUCUCUUGGUUCUGGCAUCGAUGAAGAACGCAGCGAAAUGCGAUAAGUAAUGUGAAUUGCAGAAUUCAGUGAAUCAUCGAAUCUUUGAACGCACAUUGCGCCCGCCAGUAUUCUGGCGGGCAUGCCUGUCUGAGCGUCAUUUCAACCCUCAUGCCCCUAGGGCGUGGUGUUGGGGAUCGGCCAAAGCCCGCGAGGGACGGCCGGCCCCUAAAUCUAGUGGCGGACCCGUCGUGGCCUCCUCUGCGAAGUAGUGAUAUUCCGCAUCGGAGAGCGACGGAGCCCCUGCCGUUAAACCCCCAACUUUCCAAGGUUGACCUCAGAUCAGGUAGGAA